RNAcentral lists this ribosomal RNA (393 nucleotides) under uncultured bacterium. RNAcentral describes it as "bacterial SSU rRNA". It matches the Rfam family "Bacterial small subunit ribosomal RNA", at positions 29 to 416 of the family's 1533-position model. The record is from RNAcentral.
AUUGAACGCUGGCGGCGUGCCUAACACAUGCAAGUCGAACGGCAGCACGGCAGUAGCAAUACUGUGGGUGGCGAGUGGCGGACGGGUGAGGAAUACGUCGGAAUCUGCCCAGUCGUGGGGGAUAACUAGCCGAAAGGUUAGCUAAUACCGCAUACGACCGAGAGGUGAAAGCGGGGGACCGCAAGGCCUCGCGCGAUUGGAUGAGCCGACGUCGGAUUAGCUAGUUGGUGGGGUAAAGGCCCACCAAGGCGACGAUCCGUAGCUGGUCUGAGAGGAUGAUCAGCCACACUGGAACUGAGACACGGUCCAGACUCCUACGGGAGGCAGGCAGUGGGGAAUAUUGGACAAUGGGCGCAAGCCUGAUCCAGCAAUGCCGCGUGUGUGAAGAAGGCC